This 253-nucleotide ribosomal RNA is filed under the name uncultured bacterium. RNAcentral describes it as "partial 16S ribosomal RNA". It matches the Rfam family "Bacterial small subunit ribosomal RNA", at positions 524 to 776 of the family's 1533-position model. The record is from RNAcentral.
UACGGAGGGUGCAAGCGUUAUCCGGAUUCACUGGGUUUAAAGGGUGCGUAGGUGGGCAGGUAAGUCAGUGGUGAAAUCUCCGAGCUUAACUCGGAAACUGCCAUUGAUACUAUCUGUCUUGAAUUUUCUGGAGGUGAGCGGAAUAUGUCAUGUAGCGGUGAAAUGCUUAGAUAUGACAUAGAACACCCAUUGCGAAGGCAGCUCACUACGGGACAAUUGACACUGAGGCACGAAAGCGUGGGGAUCAAACAGG